AUACCUGGACGCUAGGACUGAACGCUGCGGCGUGCUUAACACAUGCAAGUCGACGAAAGGCCCUAAGCUUGCUUGGGUACUCGGAGUGGCGAACGGGUCGAGUAACGACGUGGGUGAGUCUGGCCCUGCACUUCGGGGAUAAGCCUGGGAAACUGGGUCUAAUACCGGAUAGGACGAUGGUUUGGAUGCCAUUGUGGAAAGUUUUUCGGUGUGGGAUGAGCUCGCGGCCUAUCAGCUUGUUGUGGGGGUAAUGGCCUACCAAGGCGUCGACGGGUAGCCGGCCUGAGAGGGUGUACGGCCACAUUGGGACUGAGAUACGGCCCAGACUCCUACGGGAGGCAGCAGUGGGGAAUAUUGCACAAUGGGCGCAAGCCUGAUGCAGCGACGCCGCGUGGGGGAUGACGGCCUUCGGGUUGUAAACUCCUUUUCGCCAGGGACGAAGCGUUAUGUGACGGUACCUGGAGAAGAAGCACCGGCUAACUACGUG
Molecule: ribosomal RNA, 487 nt
Filed under: uncultured Corynebacterium sp.
Lineage: Bacteria; Bacillati; Actinomycetota; Actinomycetes; Mycobacteriales; Corynebacteriaceae
Description: bacterial SSU rRNA
Rfam family: Bacterial small subunit ribosomal RNA
Source: RNAcentral